RNAcentral lists this ribosomal RNA (354 nucleotides) under bacterium LimB-100-J-207. RNAcentral describes it as "bacterial SSU rRNA". It matches the Rfam family "Bacterial small subunit ribosomal RNA", at positions 289 to 635 of the family's 1533-position model. The record is from RNAcentral.
GGUCUGAGAGGAUGAUCCGCCACACUGGGACUGAGAGACGGCCCAGACUCCUACGGGAGGCAGCAGUGGGGAAUUUUGGACAAUGGGCGCAAGCCUGAUCCAGCCAUGCCGCGUGUCUGAAGAAGGCUUUCGGGUUGUAAAGGACUUUUGUCAGGGAGGAAAUUCCUAGCGCUAAUAUCGCUGGGGGAUGACAGUACCUGAAGAAUAAGCACCGGCUAACUACGUGCCAGCAGCCGCGGUAAUACGUAGGGUGCAAGCGUUAAUCGGAAUUACUGGGCGUAAAGCGUGCGCAGGCGGUUGUGUAAGUCUGAUGUGAAAGCCCCGGGCUCAACCUGGGAACUGCAUUGGAGACUG